ACUUCCGGGAUACGAAAGCCUUGCGAUUGGCAGUAGCGAUAGCAGCGGCGUAAAGGCCUCUGCUAUGCUUACUUUAUCCAUCCCUUUUUCCCACCUGUUCGCCACCCCAAGCCGCUAAUCCACCAAUGCAGCAAGCGCAGAACCAAGAGAAAGUAUCCGUCUGUGAGCAUUGUCUCUCUGAUAGACAAACCACAUUACGGCUGCCAUAAAUUCCUCUCGAGCACUUGGACUUCAACUACCAGCAGGCCAUGCAGCAUCACGCCCUUGCCUCUGGCGUAGGAACUGCAAGAUCCAGCAUGCAUUGCGGCCCUCCUUCCUCGCACUCAGGACCAAGAUAGAGCCAACCCAAGCCUCACUUUGAUUUAAAAAAAAAAAAAAAAAAAAAGCCAGGAUGCCUUCUUUUCCUGUUGUGAAGGAACUCUAAGCCAAGCCAUUAUUAGGACUGUAGGUUAUUUAUAAAACAUCAAGGGAUAUGUGCACUCAUUUUCCAUAUUCAGAUUAUUUUCAAGCAUUAAAACACAGGACAGUCGGGCGCGGUGGUUCGCGUCUGUAAUCCCAGCACUUUGGGAGGCCGAGGCGGGUGGAUCGCUUGAGGUUGGGAGUUCGAGACCAACCUGGCCAACAUGGUGAAAGCCCGUCUCUGUUAAAAAAUUAAAAAAUUAGCCGGGCGUGGCGGCGGGCGCCUGUAAUUCCAGCUACUCGGGAGCCUGAGGCAGGAGAAUUGCUUGAACCCGGGAGGCAAAGGUUGCAGUGAGCAGAGAUCGCGCCACUGCACUCCAGCCUGGGCGACAGAGCGAGGCUUUGUGGGGAAAAAAAAAAAAAAAAGAAGGAAAAGAAAAAGAAAGAAAGAAAAAAGGACGGUCCGAAGAUGCUUUUUAUAACGUGGAAAUUUUUGGCCAGGCGCGGCGGCUGACGCCUGUAAUCCCAGCAUUUUGGGAGGCCGAGGCGGGCGGAUCACUUGAGCCCAGGAGUUCCAGACCAGCCUGGCCAACAUGGUGAAAUCCCGUCUCUACUAAAAAUAUAAAAAAUUAGCCGGGUGCGGUGGCGCGCGCCUGUAGUCCCAACUACUCAGGAGGCUGAGGCGGGAGAAUCGCUUGAACUCGGGAGGCGGAGUUUUCAGUGAGCCAAGAUUGUGCCUCUGCACUCCAGCCUGGGCGACAGAGCAAGACCCUGUCUCAAAAAAGUAAAAAUAAAUAAAUAAAUAAAUAAAUAAGUGGAAAUUUUUAUCUUCACUCCUAAAUGAUGUCAAGAGAAAUACUGUUACUGUAAAAUGUAAUCCUAUGCCGUUUUACAGUACCGCAGAUUUUGUUGGAGCAAGGACUACCAGACAUGCUUCUGAAUUACAUAGGAAAUUAUACUAAAAACUAAAAAUAAAAUAUGAAGUCUAUGCCACCGGACUAUGAAACCACAUGGGAAUGAAAACCUUCAAGAAUGAAGAGUUGAAAAGUUCAAAAUUAAACUUGAAAUUUUUUCA
This 1474-nucleotide long non-coding RNA is filed under the name Homo sapiens (human). Its description in RNAcentral is "HSALNT0292772". The record is from RNAcentral. Lineage: Eukaryota; Metazoa; Chordata; Mammalia; Primates; Hominidae.